Molecule: long non-coding RNA, 622 nt
Organism: Nasonia vitripennis (jewel wasp)
Lineage: Eukaryota; Metazoa; Arthropoda; Insecta; Hymenoptera; Pteromalidae
Exons: 3
Source: RefSeq, a predicted model, not a curated record
AACAGAAGAAAUAUUUAAAAAAAUAAAAAAUCAGAGUACUCUUAUAUUCAUAAGUAACAUAAGUAGUAAUAAUACAUUACCUUACUUAACUGGUUUUAUCUCUUUUUUUAUCACGAAUACUGCAAGAAAUAAGUAAAAAUAAUUUGUUCAUCGAACAGCUCCAACAAAUUGUGAAUCGAAGCAGAAAGCACACCUUACUGUUUACGUUCAGAGAUCUGCUAGUCUGUUCGUUUCUCUCCCAUCGACCCUCACCAUUUACUCACACUUGUAACGUCUAACCUUUAAUCCGUAUGUAACAUAUUGUCGAAGGGCAGGGACACAUACCUAGCUAAGGUUUGUAAUAUGGAUCUUAUCACAGAGCAUCUUAUAAACGCAUUACGCAGUGAAGGUUAGAGUUACAGGUUGUGUGUGAUUAAAAGAAAAAGUAAAAAAGACUUAAAAAAAAUUAGAUCAAGCUAAUGCACGUAUUAUAGAAUUGGAGAGAGAAAAGUCUAGGCUUCUAUUGCGUUACCCAGACCCAGCUUAUCAAAAUGGAGCUCAAUCUUAUCACAGUGAACCUGCAGCAUAUCAACGUCAAUUAUAUUAAAAAUCUGUAGCAUCUAUCCAAUUAAAUAAAGUUAUU